This 332-nucleotide ribosomal RNA is filed under the name uncultured bacterium. RNAcentral's name for it is "bacterial SSU rRNA". It matches the Rfam family "Bacterial small subunit ribosomal RNA", at positions 568 to 898 of the family's 1533-position model. The record is from RNAcentral.
CGUGUAGGCGGCUUCUUAAGUCUGAUGUGAAAGCCCCGGGCUCAACCUGGGAAGUGCAUUGGAAACUGGGGAACUUGAAUACGGGAGAGGGUAGUGGAAUUCCUGGUGUAGGAGUGAAAUCCGUAGAUAUCAGGAGGAACACCGGUGGCGAAGGCGGCUACCUGGACCGAUAUUGACGCUGAGACGCGAAAGCGUGGGGAGCAAACAGGAUUAGAUACCCUGGUAGUCCACGCCGUAAACGAUGAGUACUAGGUGUUGCGGGUAUUGACCCCUGCAGUGCCGCAGCUAACGCAUUAAGUACUCCGCCUGGGAAGUACGGUCGCAAGACUAAA